Molecule: small nucleolar RNA, 132 nt
Organism: Acipenser ruthenus (sterlet)
Lineage: Eukaryota; Metazoa; Chordata; Actinopteri; Acipenseriformes; Acipenseridae
Source: RefSeq, a predicted model, not a curated record
GUGCACUGUCAAGUGACUUGAUAGCCUUUCCCCUGGCCUUUAGGUCUCAUUCCAGUGCUAGAUUAACCCCAGCUUGCAGAAGGGCUGGGCUUAUGAUUAGUAGCUUCUCCCUUUCGAAGGUUGGGUACAAGU